Molecule: ribosomal RNA, 482 nt
Filed under: uncultured bacterium
Lineage: Bacteria
Description: bacterial SSU rRNA
Rfam family: Bacterial small subunit ribosomal RNA
Source: RNAcentral
CUACGUGCCAGCAGCCGCGGUAAUACGGAGGAUGCGAGCGUUAUCCGGAUUUAUUGGGUUUAAAGGGUGCGUAGGCGGCCUGUUAAGUCAGCGGUGAAAUCUAGGAGCUUAACUCCUAAAUUGCCAUUGAUACUGGCGGGCUUGAGUGUAGAUGAGGUAGGCGGAAUGCGUGGUGUAGCGGUGGAAUGCAUAGAUAUCACGCAGAACUCCGAUUGCGAAGGCAGCUUACUAAGGUACAACUGACGCUGAAGCACGAAAGCGUGGGUAUCAAACAGGAUUAGAUACCCUGGUAGUCCACGCAGUAAACGAUGAUAACUGGGCGUAUGCGAUAUACAGUAUGCUCCCAAGCGAAAGCGUUAAGUUAUCCACCUGGGGAGUACGCCGGCAACGGUGAAACUCAAAGGAAUUGACGGGGGCCCGCACAAGCGGAGGAACAUGUGGUUUAAUUCGAUGAUACGCGAGGAACCUUACCCGGGAUUGAA